AACAGUGGGAGCUGCGCUUGUGGAAUGACAGGUACGUGUGACAAACCAGGCCUUCUGUGCAACUGUGACAGCAAUGAUCACAUCUGGAGGAGUGAUGAGGGAAUCCUCGCAGACAGGAGUGCUCUGCCAGUGAGGGCUGUGCAAUUCGGGGACACUAAGGACAUCCCGCUGGAAAUGGCAUUUCACAACAUAGGCAAAUUCACCUGCAGAGGAAGGGGGUCCCCCAUUCCAUGAAAGUGUUUUAUAUCACUUGAUGCAUCGCUGCCUUGGUUUCUUCUUCAUUAUUAACUCUUCUUGGACUUGAAUUGGUGUCUCAUACGUCUUUGUGUAGUUCAAUCAACAUCUCCAAACAGCUAGCAACAGAACUGUCAACACUGUAAUGGAGUCCUA
This is a long non-coding RNA of Anguilla anguilla (European eel), 390 nucleotides long. RefSeq lists it as uncharacterized. The record is from RefSeq and is a predicted model, not a curated record. Lineage: Eukaryota; Metazoa; Chordata; Actinopteri; Anguilliformes; Anguillidae. The transcript has 3 exons.